UUAAAUUGAAGAGUUUGAUCAUGGCUCAGAUUGAACGCUGGCGGCAGGCCUAACACAUGCAAGUCGAACGGUAACAGGAAACAGCUUGCUGUUUCGCUGACGAGUGGCGGACGGGUGAGUAAUGUCUGGGAAACUGCCUGAUGGAGGGGGAUAACUACUGGAAACGGUAGCUAAUACCGCAUAACGUCGCAAGACCAAAGAGGGGGACCUUCGGGCCUCUUGCCAUCGGAUGUGCCCAGAUGGGAUUAGCUUGUUGGUGGGGUAACGGCUCACCAAGGCGACGAUCCCUAGCUGGUCUGAGAGGAUGACCAGCCACACUGGAACUGAGACACGGUCCAGACUCCUACGGGAGGCAGCAGUGGGGAAUAUUGCACAAUGGGCGCAAGCCUGAUGCAGCCAUGCCGCGUGUAUGAAGAAGGCCUUCGGGUUGUAAAGUACUUUCAGCGGGGAGGAAGGGAGUAAAGUUAAUACCUUUGCUCAUUGACGUUACCCGCAGAAGAAGCACCGGCUAACUCCGUGCCAGCAGCCGCGGUAAUACGGAGGGUGCAAGCGUUAAUCGGAAUUACUGGGCGUAAAGCGCACGCAGGCGGUUUGUUAAGUCAGAUGUGAAAUCCCCGGGCUCAACCUGGGAACUGCAUAUGAUACUGGCAAGCUUGAGUCUCGUAGAGGGGGGUAGAAUUCCAGGUGUAGCGGUGAAAUGCGUAGAGAUCUGGAGGAAUACCGGUGGCGAAGGCGGCCCCCUGGACGAAGACUGACGCUCAGGUGCGAAAGCGUGGGGAGCAAACAGGAUUAGAUACCCUGGUAGUCCACGCCGUAAACGAUGUCGACUUGGAGGUUGUGCCCUUGAGGCGUGGCUUCCGGAGCUAACGCGUUAAGUCGACCGCCUGGGGAGUACGGCCGCAAGGUUAAAACUCAAAUGAAUUGACGGGGGCCCGCACAAGCGGUGGAGCAUGUGGUUUAAUUCGAUGCAACGCGAAGAACCUUACCUGGUCUUGACAUCCACAGAACUUUCCAGAGAUGGAUUGGUGCCUUCGGGAACUGUGAGACAGGUGCUGCAUGGCUGUCGUCAGCUCGUGUUGUGAAAUGUUGGGUUAAGUCCCGCAACGAGCGCAACCCUUAUCCUUUGUUGCCAGCGGUCCGGCCGGGAACUCAAAGGAGACUGCCAGUGAUAAACUGGAGGAAGGUGGGGAUGACGUCAAGUCAUCAUGGCCCUUACGACCAGGGCUACACACGUGCUACAAUGGCGCAUACAAAGAGAAGCGACCUCGCGAGAGCAAGCGGACCUCAUAAAGUGCGUCGUAGUCCGGAUUGGAGUCUGCAACUCGACUCCAUGAAGUCGGAAUCGCUAGUAAUCGUGGAUCAGAAUGCCACGGUGAAUACGUUCCCGGGCCUUGUACACACCGCCCGUCACACCAUGGGAGUGGGUUGCAAAAGAAGUAGGUAGCUUAACCUUCGGGAGGGCGCUUACCACUUUGUGAUUCAUGACUGGGGUGAAGUCGUAACAAGGUAACCGUAGGGGAACCUGCGGUUGGAUCACCUCCUUACCUUAAAGAAGC
Molecule: ribosomal RNA, 1556 nt
Filed under: Escherichia coli
Lineage: Bacteria; Pseudomonadati; Pseudomonadota; Gammaproteobacteria; Enterobacterales; Enterobacteriaceae
Description: 16S ribosomal RNA
Rfam family: Bacterial small subunit ribosomal RNA
Source: RNAcentral